AUUCUGGCUCAGGAUGAACGCUAGCGGCAGGCUUAACACAUGCAAGUCGAGGGGCAUCGGGAGUAGCAAUACUUGCCGGCGACCGGCGCAAGGGUGCGUAACGCGUGAGCAACAUGCCCGUAUCAGGGGGAUAAUCCAUGGAAACGUGGUCUAAUACCCCAUAGUAAUUAUGUAAGGCAUCUUAUAUAAUUUAAAGCUUUGGUGGAUACGGAUUGGCUCGCGUGACAUUAGCAGGAUGGUAAGGUAACGGCUUACCAUGGCUACGAUGUCUAGGGGUUCUGAGAGGAAGGUCCCCCACACUGGAACUGAGACACGGUCCAGACUCCUACGGGAGGCAGCAGUGAGGAAUAUUGGACAAUGGAUGGAAAUCUGAUCCAGCCAUGCCGCGUGCAAGGAAGACGGCCCUAUGGGUUGUAAACUGCUUUUGUAUGGGAGCAAUAAGGGCUACGUGUAGUCCGAUGAGAGUACCAUACGAAUAAGCACCGGCUAACUCCGUGCCAGCAGCCGC
RNAcentral lists this ribosomal RNA (508 nucleotides) under uncultured bacterium. RNAcentral's name for it is "bacterial SSU rRNA". It matches the Rfam family "Bacterial small subunit ribosomal RNA", at positions 16 to 518 of the family's 1533-position model. The record is from RNAcentral.